GGGCCAUUUCAAAAACAAUGAGGAUUUUUACUUUUUGUGGUAUAUUUUUAUAUUAGUUAAGUUUAGAAUUAUAACACAGGUGUUAUAAAAUGCAGGAUAGUCAGGGCCAGCUUGCUGCCAAGUUUCAUGAAGAUAUCUUAAACCACUUCAGAGAAAUGUUUUAAAAACAGGCCAUUUUUGUCAGGAGUGUGACGCUUUUAGCGUGACAUUUAAAAAAUUAGAAAUUUUCAAA
RNAcentral lists this long non-coding RNA (232 nucleotides) under Mytilus galloprovincialis (Mediterranean mussel). The record is from RNAcentral. Lineage: Eukaryota; Metazoa; Mollusca; Bivalvia; Mytilida; Mytilidae.